UGCCAUCCCUCCAUCCGGUGUGCCCCGACGCUCCCUCCCACCAUUUCUUCCCCCGCGGCAGUGUCACCAUGCACCACGGAGCAAAGUCCGACGGCGGCGGCGCUGUCGGUUUGAGGAGGGAGGAGGAAGAAGGAGGGUGGAGCUGGGGCGACGGCCACACGGGAGGAGACGGGAGCAUGUCAGAGCGGCGCUCAGUUUGCUCAGGUGCCGCUGUGCAGUCGUAAGAAUACCAGAGGUCAGGCCUGAUUCGGUCUCCGUCUUGUUGGAUUCGAUCCAAAUUUCUUUUGUCAAUCUACGAGCAGGUAUAUUUGGAAUUGGAGGCACAUAUCCUGACUACUCUCUGGUUUUAUCUACUUUGGCUUGUUUGCUUGCUUCAACGCAUGGCGUUCUCAUCCAUGGGGCCUGCGGCCGGGUGGGGAGCUCCUCGCAAGUUUGUGGCGAUGGCUGAAAUAAAUUGCGUUCGUUCAUGUGGUCGACAGUGAGGAAAAAGCACAUGUUUUUUUGGUUGAGGUUGCUCUGCACUUGUUCGUAGCAAUACCAAACAAAGAUAUUGCACGAAAGCAUGAUGACGACUACGAGCCCGCCCCGUCGCCGCCGCGCCUCUGCUGCUUCCGCAGUGCACUGCUAUUCUUACACCUGCAGCCUUCACGGCCUGCCUCUACCGCUCCCGCCGGCACCCGGCCGUCUUCGCCGGAGAGACACCCACCGCCGGCACAGGCGCAUGAGCCAUCGCCGCCGGAGACAAGUCAGGGACCCGGAGCCCCCAUCCUGGUAUUGGACCUUCCAAUUCAAGGCACCUUCCACCUAAUACUCGAGUCAGUGGUUCCACAGAUUCAGGAAACGCAGGCUGAAUGGAAUCCAACGGAACUAAUGUUGCAGCUAUAGCAUCCGAUAUUUAGUGAUACAUGUUUAAUUCGGUGAUAACAGGUAUAUCAUCCCAUAUUCUUUCACUUGCAUGGUUCUGUUCCAUUGAUGUUGUAGCUGGUACUUGCCAGUCUCUAUGGAGUAUAUGUACGAGUGGAGUAAGUGAGAAGAGUACAUUAUUGUAGGUUGCAUGUACGUGUUGUAGUUACCUAAACCAUGCAAAAAUGGACAGAUUUUUCAACAUAUGAAGCUGUUAUUAGCUAACAUCUCUUCUUUUUUUCCCAUUUAGUUGCAUUACUGGAAGGUGGAUCAGGGCGCAGUGUUGAAUCAUUUUGAUUGGCCCGAGAGAAACGAGGACACUGCGACAGGCAACCUUUUACUUACCAACCUCACAAAUAUUUGAAGCGUAAGUCUCUUGUAAGAAUCGGCAGCGUUCCUACUCCGAUCGAGGAGCCGUGUUUGGUUUAUAUUGAUAUGGGCAGAACAGCCGUGCCU
Molecule: long non-coding RNA, 1359 nt
Organism: Triticum aestivum (bread wheat)
Lineage: Eukaryota; Viridiplantae; Streptophyta; Magnoliopsida; Poales; Poaceae
Exons: 3
Source: RefSeq, a predicted model, not a curated record